UACGAAGGGGGCUAGCGUUGCUCGGAUUGACUGGGCGUAAAGGGCGCGUAGGCGGUUCGUACAGUCAGACGUGAAAUUCCUGGGCUCAACCUGGGGGCUGCGUUUGAUACGUGCGGGCUUGAGUUCGGAAGAGGGUCGUGGAAUUCCCAGUGUAGAGGUGAAAUUCGUAGAUAUUGGGAAGAACACCGGUGGCGAAGGCGGCGACCUGGUCCGAUACUGACGCCGAGGCGCGAAAGCGUGGGGAGCAAACAGG
This 253-nucleotide ribosomal RNA is filed under the name uncultured bacterium. Its description in RNAcentral is "partial 16S ribosomal RNA". It matches the Rfam family "Bacterial small subunit ribosomal RNA", at positions 524 to 776 of the family's 1533-position model. The record is from RNAcentral.